CGACGCAUAGCCUCUCCCUAUAUAUUCUGCAUGUGUGGAGGUGGCCCAGCUCCACAAGGGCCUGGUAGCCACAGGAAUCUCUUUCACACAGCAGCUACUACCUGCAGGGGCAACGACGAACCAAAUGAGAAUAAAGACAAGCUGGGAACAGAAUCCUGGCUGCCGGAUGUGUGCGGAUGAAAAAACAGUGAGAUGAGUCAGAAAAUGGCCAAGGAGGGCCCCAGGCUCUCCAAGAACCAGAAGUUCUCGGAACACUUCAGCAUCCACUGUUGCCCACCCUUCACCUUCCUCAACUCCAAGCGUGAGAUCGUGGACCGCAAGUACAGCAUCUGCAAGAGCGGCUGCUUCUACCAGAAGAAGGAGGAGGAUUGGAUCUGCUGCGCCUGCCAGAAGACCAGAUUGAAAAGGAGGAGCAGGUCAACCCCAAGAAAAAAGUGACAAGGAAGGGAUUUCCUGUGAAUGGACAGCCUCCGCCUGUGGACUUACAACUUCACAACCCAUCCUCCCUCAGACAAGUUACCUGGCCUCAAGUAUGAUGCAGGAUCAGACACCUGCUGAUGCGACAGCUACAGAUGCCCUCAGUCCUCACGGUGUGGGAGCCUCAGGGCAGCCUGCCUGGAGCACUGUGGCGAUGCCAUUCCAUCACCUCCCUCUGUAAGUGCCAAUGAGAGAUCUGCCAUCCAUCUUCUUGACUCUCCAUGGACUCAGGUUCCUCUAUCUGAAGAUGUGUGUGUCUUCAGGGAUGUGCAAAACAAGUUCGUGUUGCACAACUAUCCAAGUGGCAAAUAUAAAAAAGAAAUUGUCAAGCGUUGGCAAUGAUGUGAGGAGAGUCCUAGACGCUACUGAUGGGAAUUUGUACCUUGUCAUGGUAGAUGUCAUCCUACCACUGUACCCCGGGACACUAGCAAGGCAGGGUAUCUUAAAACCUCUAAUCAAGUGACUAUAAUUUUAGGCAUCCAUCCUGGAGAACACUUACACACUUUUAGAGAAGAGGAAACACACAAAUUUGUUUAAAAGAUCAUGGUUUGUAGUUAAGAGGGGAAAUAGAAUGCAAUUAGCCAAACUCUCUAUCCAUAAGGGAAUGAGAGAACAAAUUUGGGGAUAUUUUCAAAUAAAGUCCUAAACAUCAGUUAAAGCCAGUCUGUCAGGCAGGCUGUAUCAAGCAGGUGAAUCUAGACAGCAGAGCCAGGACUAUAGAAAGCAAGCAUAAGGCGGCAAACCCAAUAUGACAUCCUAGGUAUAAAUAUCGACAGCCCACAAUCCUAUAUUGGUUAUUGCUCAAUAAGGAGAAGCCAUAAAAUCUCAUACUUUUUCUAUAAUGCAAUAGAAUUUAAAAUGAUAGCAAAAGACAAAGAUAUUAAAAAUGAAUCCUCUCAGAAAUAAACGUAUAAGAAAUAAUUCCUGGCUUGAAGAAAUAACCCAGACUAAAAGCUACAUAGAAAUAGUUUAACAGUACUAGGGGAUAUACAUUUGUUUGGAGAGGGUAAAUGGGAAAUUUGUGAACAGCGUGGGAUGCUUCCACAGUUAUAUAAAUCUUAAACACCAAAAAACAUUUGCUUUGAAUCAAUUUUGGGUCUGGGAUAGAGUCCUUGGCUUGUGAGAAAAGGGAACCGAUUUGGAAUACAGCUCUCAAAUUUUUCUUUAGGGACCAGGUAAGUAGGAGAGGACAACAGGAUGUUGGGGAACGUGGAGGGAUGUACAGUACUUGGUGGAGGGACACUCAAUGUAGGGACACGAAGAGCAUCAGGAAUGGCUUUGUGCUGGGAGCUGGGUGGCCAAGCACAGGCAGAUGCUGGAAGACCCCAAAGGGCACCGUUUCACCCUCACAGCCAGACCUGGUAAAGUUCAGAUUGGAGUGCAGGGAUGGGGGCCAUGUUCAAGGUGUGGAGCUGGAGAGAGAGGAAGACAGUAAGGAGGAAGGAAGAGAUGGCUCAGAAUGCUGCGCCCCAGCAAGAAGAAGCAGGCCAUACUGUCCCAAGAUCCCCGAAGGGCCCCGGCUUCCUAACCUGAGGGUGCUAUGUGGCCCCAGAAGUGCCAAUGCGAAGGCAGGGGAAUUUAACUGCAGAACAACUUCGUGCAGAAACUCUGGUGCUAAAUGAACAUCUAAGUGACAACCUCUCUGACGGGCAGGGUCUAACGGUGAGCUGCCCGAGGCUAUCUCCUUCCCGAGAGUAACGGGGCUGGGAAGAACUAGGGUGAGAUAGCGCACAGCAACCCACUGGCGAGCCUCACCCCAACCCAUUAAGGAAACAUCAUGGGGACUCCAUCUCCAGUGCUCGCUCAUCUCACCCUCCCCUCCACGCCACCCCCAAGACAAAGAGCACUUGUUAACCCAUGCACAGCACUGGAUAUUAGCCCAUUAAUGUGAAUAACCAGAAACCACUACAUUUUGUCUGUCUUCUGUUGAAAUAAAACCUGGGGGUGGAUCAA
RNA transcript from Peromyscus leucopus (white-footed mouse), 2430 nucleotides. It is a transcript of the gene named myelin associated oligodendrocyte basic protein, with no coding region annotated. The record is from RefSeq and is a predicted model, not a curated record. The transcript is spliced from 6 exons. NCBI's taxonomy places the organism in Eukaryota, Metazoa, Chordata, Mammalia, Rodentia, Cricetidae.